Molecule: RNase P RNA, 395 nt
Filed under: Pelagimonas phthalicica
Lineage: Bacteria; Pseudomonadati; Pseudomonadota; Alphaproteobacteria; Rhodobacterales; Roseobacteraceae
Description: Bacterial RNase P class A
Rfam family: Bacterial RNase P class A
About the family: Ribonuclease P (RNase P) is a ubiquitous endoribonuclease, found in archaea, bacteria and eukarya as well as chloroplasts and mitochondria. Its best characterised activity is the generation of mature 5'-ends of tRNAs by cleaving the 5'-leader elements of precursor-tRNAs. Cellular RNase Ps are ribonucleoproteins.
Source: Rfam by way of RNAcentral
GUGGAAGACUGGACGGCCGCACCCGAAAGGGUGAGGAAAGUCCGGACUCGCCAAAGCAUCGGUGCCGGGUAACGCCCGGGCAGAGCAAUCUGACGGAGAGCGCCACAGAAAACAGACCGCCGCAUUUCGAUGCGGUAAGGGUGAAACGGUGGGGUAAGAGCCCACCGGGGGCAUGGCAACAUGGCCCGCAUGGCAAGCCCCACCGGGAGCAAUGCCAAAUAGGAACCUCGCGUCCGGCUGAUCCGCUUGCGGAUAUCGGGGCAGGGCGGCUUUGGCCUGAGAGGUUCGGGUUGGCAGCAAGAGUCUCGUGGCAACGCGGGGCCCAGAUGAAUGGUCGUCGAGCCCGGGGGAGACCCUUGGGGGAACAGAAUCCGGCUUAUAGGUCUUCCACGCGU